UGUUGGUGAUGUGGAUAGUCUCGGAGAAGAGAUUUAAACCUCUUCCAUGCAUGACAUAAGUUCUCACUUGUCUUUUGCUUAAAACUCAAAAUCUCACUAUACAACCU
Molecule: non-coding RNA, 107 nt
Organism: Capsicum annuum
Lineage: Eukaryota; Viridiplantae; Streptophyta; Magnoliopsida; Solanales; Solanaceae
Source: Rfam